AGAGUUUGAUCCUGGCUCAGAAUGAAACCUGGCGGUGUGCCUAACACAUGCAAGUCAAACGACAAUUUAUUUGGAGUGGCGGACGGGUGAGUAACACGUAAGAACCUACCUUUAGGAGGGGGAUACCAUCCCGGGAAACUGGUGCUAAUACCCCAUAUGCUGAGAAGUGAAAUGGUAUUUAACCGCCUAGAGAGGGGCUUGCGGCUGAUUAGCUAGUUGGUGGGGUAAUGGCCUCCCAAGGCGACGAUCAGUAGCUGGUUUGAGAGGAUGAUCAGCCACACUGGGACUGAGACACGGCCCAGACUCCUACGGGAGGCAGCAGUGAGGAAUUUUCCGCAAUGGGCGAAAGCCUGACGGAGCAAUACCGCGUGGAGGAAAAAGAAGACCUGUGGGUUGUAAACUCCUUUUCUCAGAGAAGAAUACUGACGGUAUCUGAGGAAUAAGCACCGGCUAACUAUGUGCCAGCAGCCGCGGUAAUACAUGGGGUGCGAGGUUUAUUCGGAAUGAUUGGGCGUAAAGCGUUCGUAGGUGGUUUCACGAAGUCCACUGUCAAAGAUCAGGGCUUAACCUUGGGCAGGCAGUGGAAACUCGGAAACUCGAGUCAGGUGGGGGCUGAAGGAAUCAACAGCGUAACAGUGAAAUGUGUAGAUAUUGUUGAGAACACCGAUGGA
This 671-nucleotide ribosomal RNA is filed under the name uncultured bacterium. Its description in RNAcentral is "bacterial SSU rRNA". It matches the Rfam family "Bacterial small subunit ribosomal RNA", at positions 8 to 716 of the family's 1533-position model. The record is from RNAcentral.